RNAcentral lists this ribosomal RNA (254 nucleotides) under uncultured bacterium. RNAcentral describes it as "partial 16S ribosomal RNA". It matches the Rfam family "Bacterial small subunit ribosomal RNA", at positions 524 to 776 of the family's 1533-position model. The record is from RNAcentral.
CACGUAGGGUGCGAGCGUUGUCCGGAAUUAUUGGGCGUAAAGAGCUCGUAGGCGGUGUGUCGCGUCGGCCGUGAAAACUUGCAGCUUAACUGUGGGCGUGCGGUCGAUACGGGCAUCACUGGAGUUCGGCAGGGGAGACUGGAAUUCCUGGUGUAGCGGUGAAAUGCGCAGAUAUCAGGAGGAACACCGGUGGCGAAGGCGACUACCUGGCCUGUUCUUGACGCUGAGGCGCGAAAGCUAGGGGAGCAAACGGG